This 289-nucleotide ribosomal RNA is filed under the name uncultured bacterium. Its description in RNAcentral is "partial 16S ribosomal RNA". It matches the Rfam family "Bacterial small subunit ribosomal RNA", at positions 29 to 334 of the family's 1533-position model. The record is from RNAcentral.
AACGAACGCUGGCGGCACGCCUAACACAUGCAAGUCGAACGCGAACGGGACUUCGGUCCUUAUUAGAGUGGCGGACAGGUGAGUAACACGUGGGAAUAUGCCUUUCAGUAAGGAACAACGCUUGGAAACGAGUGCUAAUACCUUAUACGCCCCAAGGGGGAAAGAUUUAUCGCUGAGAGAUUGGCCCGCGCUAGAUUAGCUAGUUGGUGAGGUAAUGGCUCACCAAGGCGACGAUCUAUAGCUGGUUUGAGAGGAUGAUCAGCCACACUGGAACUGAGACACGGUCCAG